AGGUAAUGUAAAAACUAAUGCUGUGCCAAAUACUGCAACAAACAGUGGAUUAUAAAUGAACCCUUUGGUAUGUUUUUUUCUGACACGCUCUGCUAGCCCUUCUCCCCAGAAGGCUCUACUCUGUGGCUGGGAACAUGCUGGUACCAGGGUUUCUUACUGACACUUCUCCUCUUGGAUUUUCAUUUACUGUAUGCCUCCGAACAAUAAUACCCUUCAAUAAAUUAGGUGAAACUAAUGGCAAAGAUAUCGAAGAACAAUGAAAAUACUUUUGACCUGCCUGUAAAAUGACAGUAGAUAAUAAUCUUUACAAUUAACACUCAUAGAAAAGAUGUUCAACUCUUCACCAAAAGACAUUACUUAAUUUCUGGUUCAGACUUAUGCAGAGAACAGCUAAAUGCAAACCACCUGCUUAUAAUAAAUAAAUCCGUGUACAUUAGCAUGGAAGUUUUGAAUAUGAACAAACGGAAAAAGGAGAAGUUGCUACAGGACUAAAGUUGGAGUCACGUGGUUUCAAAGUUUGUGGAAAGUUUUUUUUUCUUUUUUUUAUGCUCUGUGUGUGUGUCAAGCUUUUAGAUGUGAGUCCUUCAAAGUUGUCAGACUACGUUUCCCUCCAGCUGGUUUGGAGCUGAUUUUCCAACUUCAUUUACAAUACUCUGAAGUCUAUUUUGGAGCUUCUGCCCAGGAUGUAUUAUUGGGCACAAAGAAAGGUACGGGAAUUACUGAUAAUUGUUGCCCAUGUCUGUGAAUCUGAGCAUUGUUUAAAACUGAGAUACAAUUUUCUGAUCUUUUAAAAUCAGUAAUCAUCAUAGCUGUAAGCUGCCUAGACAUGGGCAAGGUAAUAAUGACACCAUUAAGAAAUAAGAGUUGUUGAGUUUUUGAAAUAAUAGUUUUUGGGUGCUUAGCAGGAUUAUCUUACUUAAUCGUUAUAACAACACUAUGGAGAUGGGUAUUGCUAUUUUCCUUAUUUUGCAGAUGUCAAAACUGAGGAUUAGAAAAUUGAGUACCUCAUCCAAGGUCACACAAAUGACAAAUAUUAGAGCUGCUGUUUGCACCUAAAUCCCCUGCUUUGAGAGCCCAAAUGAAGCAGCAAUAGAAAAUCCAUCUACUGGUUAUGCAAUUUGUCUAUAUUCUCUGAGGACAAACUUUGUGCAAAUAUGAAGAUAGAAAAUCUUGGGUAACUCUGGUGAGACCAGUUUUUGUUUGUUUGUUUUUGGUUUUAGUCUUGGUUGUUGUUGUCUUUUCAUGGAAAUAAGCAAUUCUGUCUUCGGAGAUAGCAGGACCAUGGAUCAACUCUGGCUGUGCAACGCGAGAUUCAACGGUUUGGACCAAGUUGAUUUAUUGCUUGAAUUAAAAGAUAUUCACAUUUAUUACUUGAAUUAAAAGAAGAUGAACAGCUAAUUCCAUCAGACACACUAUGUAGACUUAGGUGGAGGGAGGACUCGACAAUACCCAAACUUAGACAGCUGUACUGAACAGGCUCUCUGCUUAUAUGGUUAGACAGCCAUAUAGAUGAGCAUUGGCCCAUGAAAACAUAAUCUGAACCACAAAUACAAGCUGUAUAUGUAAUCUAACACUUUCUUCUAAUCACACUAAAAAAAAAGCAGUGGGUAAAAGAAAAAAAUAUAUUUCAUUUAGCUUAAUAUAUACAAAA
Long non-coding RNA from Ursus thibetanus thibetanus, 1651 nucleotides. Lineage: Eukaryota; Metazoa; Chordata; Mammalia; Carnivora; Ursidae. The record is from Ensembl.